Molecule: ribosomal RNA, 253 nt
Filed under: uncultured bacterium
Lineage: Bacteria
Description: partial 16S ribosomal RNA
Rfam family: Bacterial small subunit ribosomal RNA
Source: RNAcentral
UACGUAGGGGGCUAGCGUUGUUCGGAAUUACUGGGCGUAAAGGGCGCGUAGGCGGUCUUGUAAGUUCCGUGUGAAAUCCCUCGGCUCAACUGAGGAACCGCACGGAAAACUGCUUGGCUUGAGUUCGGGAGAGGGAAGCGGAAUUCCGGGUGUAGCGGUGAAAUGCGUAGAUAUCCGGAGGAACACCGGUGGCGAAGGCGGCUUCCUGGACCGACACUGACGCUGAGGCGCGAAAGCUAGGGGAGCAAACGGG